GGAGGAAAGCAGGGGAUCGUAAGACCUCGCGCUUUCGGAGUGGCCGAUAUCGGAUUAGCUAGUUGGUGGGGUAAAGGCUUACCAAGGCGACGAUCCGUAGCUGGUCUGAGAGGACGACCAGCCACACUGGAACUGAGACACGGUCCAGACUCCUACGGGAGGCAGCAGUGGGGAAUUUUGGACAAUGGGGGAAACCCUGAUCCAGCCAUGCCGCGUGAGUGAAGAAGGCCUUCGGGUUGUAAAGCUCUUUCAGACGGAAAGAAACGGUUACGGCUAAUACCCGUGACUAAUGACGGUACCGUCAGAAGAAGCACCGGCUAACUACGUGCCAGCAGCCGCGGUAAUACGUAGGGUGCGAGCGUUAAUCGGAAUUACUGGGCGUAAAGCGUGCGCAGGCGGUUUUGUAAGACAGGCGUGAAAUCCCCGGGCUUAACCUGGGAACUGCGUUUGAAACUACAAGGCUAGAAGGG
RNAcentral lists this ribosomal RNA (470 nucleotides) under uncultured bacterium. Its description in RNAcentral is "bacterial SSU rRNA". It matches the Rfam family "Bacterial small subunit ribosomal RNA", at positions 198 to 649 of the family's 1533-position model. The record is from RNAcentral.